Molecule: small nuclear RNA, 270 nt
Filed under: Fukomys damarensis (Damara mole-rat)
Lineage: Eukaryota; Metazoa; Chordata; Mammalia; Rodentia; Bathyergidae
Description: 7SK RNA
Rfam family: 7SK RNA
About the family: 7SK was discovered as an abundant small nuclear RNA in the mid-70s but a possible function has only recently been suggested. Two independent studies have found that 7SK RNA binds the CDK9/cyclin T complex (known as elongation factor P-TEFb).
Source: Rfam by way of RNAcentral
AAACACAAGGGUAAUCGGGCUGCGACGUCUGUCACCCCACAGAUCUGGGGGCUCAGCCUGUGUCCCCUGGCGCCCUCACUGCUCCAUGUGUGCUGUUCCCGAAGCCGCAAAGUCAAAAAGGACGCACCCCACAGGAGGACUGUUUCCUGGGUCGCCGUAUACUAGGAGCUGAGUCCUCCUGCUGGAACCACCAAACGAGCUCUCAAAAUAAAAACACAAACAGGACAAUGCCCCUCAAGCGGAAGUAUAAACAGUGUUAUGCUAUUUGGU